Molecule: ribosomal RNA, 253 nt
Filed under: uncultured bacterium
Lineage: Bacteria
Description: partial 16S ribosomal RNA
Rfam family: Bacterial small subunit ribosomal RNA
Source: RNAcentral
UACGAAGGGGGCUAGCGUUGCUCGGAAUUACUGGGCGUAAAGCGCACGUAGGCGGAUUGUUAAGUCGGGGGUGAAAUCCUGGAGCUCAACUCCAGAACUGCCUUCGAUACUGGCGAUCUCGAGUUCGGGAGAGGUGAGUGGAACUGCGAGUGUAGAGGUGAAAUUCGUAGAUAUCAGGAGGAACACCGGUGGCGAAGGCGGUUCUCUGGGCCUUACCUGACGCUGAGGAGCGAAAGCGUGGGGAGCAAACAGG